AGCAAACGCUGGCGGCAGGCCUAACACAUGCAAGUCGAACGAACCUUUCGGGGUUAGUGGCGGACGGGUGAGUAACACGUGGGAACGUGCCUUUAGGUUCGGAAUAACUCAGGGAAACUUGUGCUAAUACCGAAUGUGCCCUUCGGGGGAAAGAUUUAUCGCCUUUAGAGCGGCCCGCGUCUGAUUAGCUAGUUGGUUGAGGUAAUGGCUCACCAAGGCGACGAUCAGUAGCUGGUCUGAGAGGAUGAUCAGCCACAUUGGGACUGAGGCACGGCCCAAACUCCUACGGGAGGCAGCAGUGGGGAAUCUUGCGCAAUGGGCGAAAGCCUGACGCAGCCAUGCCGCGUGAAUGAUGAAGGUCUUAGGAUUGUAAAAUUCUUUCACCGGGGACGAUAAUGACGGUACCCGGAGAAGAAGCCCCGGCUAACUUCGUG
This 434-nucleotide ribosomal RNA is filed under the name uncultured bacterium. Its description in RNAcentral is "partial 16S ribosomal RNA". It matches the Rfam family "Bacterial small subunit ribosomal RNA", at positions 29 to 507 of the family's 1533-position model. The record is from RNAcentral.